GGAACCACUCCACUAUCCAUAGCAGCCCAUAAUGGACAUGUGGAAGUUGUGCAGCAGUUGCUGGAGUUUGGAGCAGAAGUGAACAAGGCUGAUGAGGAAGGAUUCACACCAUUACACAUGGCAGCCCAGGAGGGACAUGUGGAAGUUGUGCAGCAGCUGCUGAAGGCUGGAGCAGAAGUGGACAAGGCUAAGCAGGACGGAGCCACUCCACUGUUCAUAGCAGCCCAGACGGGACAUGUGGAAGUUGUGCAGCAGCUGCUGAAGGCUGGAGCAGAAGUGGACAAGGCUAUGCAGG
Molecule: long non-coding RNA, 295 nt
Organism: Branchiostoma floridae (Florida lancelet)
Lineage: Eukaryota; Metazoa; Chordata; Leptocardii; Amphioxiformes; Branchiostomatidae
Exons: 3
Source: RefSeq, a predicted model, not a curated record